CUCUUAUGCUUUUCAAAACACUUUCUUGUCUGUUACUUAAUCCUCACAUUAAUAAUAAGUGACAGGCAGAGAAAAAAUGUGUUACCUUCAUGACUCCAUGGCAAUCUCAUUGCUGAGAAGUGGGAGAAUUGGAACAAAAACAACCCAUUCUUUAGCGUUUCCUCAUUUCUUCCUCCUCAUUUUCCCAAGCCCCUCAUUUCCACCCCUUCCCACCAACUGGGUGAUGUUAGUAUUAUAUAUUACCUCUAGAGAUGUCUGUCAAUUAUUAUGGAUCUAUUAUAGCAAAAACAGAGAAAGGUUCAAACAACCUCAAGGGACAUAUUAACAUUUGCUUUAAAUAUUGAAGGCUAUGAUGCUGUGUUCAAAAUUUUUUUUAAGUGGAAACUCUCUCAAAGUCUAAGUAGUUAUUUUGACUAGUGCAAAACUGUGUUUCAUUUCAAAUAACGUGAUGAAACAAAAAACCAAAAAACAACAUGUUUCUAUGGGAGGGACUGUGAAAUAAAAUCAAAACAAUCAAGGCAUUCUGAGAAGAAUGAUUUUGGUCUUUCACGGUUAUGAAUUCUGCCACCUUGAGUGGUAUGUUUCAUAAUUUGUGGCUUCUCACUCCCUCGUGUUGUUGAGAUUCUGUUUAAGUUAGGAAUUUAGCUAGAUCAGCAUUGUCAGAUCUUGGGCAAAUCAUGUGCCUCCUCAGGCUCUUGAUUUUUCACAUUUUCAAGGUUAUGAUUAGGUGAGUGUGAGGAUUAAUUGUGGUUAUGUGUGUAAAAGUAUUUUGAAAACUUGAACAUUCUAUGUAUACAAAUCACAUAUAGAUACUACACUUAAGUGUAUGUAUAGUAUACACAUAUGUAGAUAAAUGACUAUUAAUAUUAAUAAGAGUAACUCAUGUAUCAGAUGAUUAUAACAUUUUAAGCUAAUAAAGGGAAAAUCAGUUGUUUAAAAAUAUACAUGUAAUUUGUUUCAAUGCAUUUCCUCCAAAUAGUUCUCUGGCUGUGUUUUCAUUGAGGAAUAUUAUAUUACAUUCCCUAUGUUCCUCAAGAUACUUGUUUAUUUUUUUUAACUUUGGGAGAAUUUUUUAAAUGUUGUGAUCUGGAAAAAGUGCAAUGAUUGUAUAAUAAAAUCUCAUACUUAUGAUUGUUUUAGACAUUCUCUACAAACUCAUAUAAAGAUUGUAAAAAAAAAACUUCUCCAAAUGUUGCCUAUGUAUUUUGUCUGUAAAGACUGUAGAAGUGAUAGAGCCAGGAAGUGAAGUGAUGUGGUAGCAAGUUAUUUAAAAAUCACUUUUUUUCUUUUUGCAGUUAAGUUUAUUUAAAUGAUGUCUGUAUCCAUUAUUUAUUUACUUAUCAUUCUGUGUCUGUCUCUGCCUGGCUCCAUAAAAGCAAUGGAGGCAGCAGAAUAUCCAGACACAGUUUUUCUCUGCUCCAUGCCCCCUCUAUGCAUGCAGUCACCAUCUUUUUAGCAAUACACCAUUAACUCUGGAAUAUUCACUGACAGUCUGAAAGAUACUAACAUACUCACCAUUUAUUUCUCCUUGCCAUCACUUUUAUGCUCAGUUUUGGGGGUCUCCAUUUUGUUUUCUCUUCAACCAUGAAUUCAUAUUGUUUAGAAAGUUUCUUUGAAUUCUGAGAGAGAAUGAGAAAUUAGAAGAGAAAAUCAAGUGAGAACCCCAUGCCUUAUUUAAUUGAAGAGUUUCUCCCCCUUCACCUCCUAAAGAGGAAUAGUAGAGAGUUUCCACCCAUAUGUAAAGAAGUGGUGUCAGUGGAAUAUCAUGGUACAGGAGCAAUAUUUUGAAAUGUCUUGUUGCUGGUUAAAUACAGGGAACGCCAAUACAAGGAAGCAAGCUUCGACUUCCAGGAUAUUUAUCAGGGAAAGGCUUCCACUCUGGGGAGGACAGUGGCUUGAUAACAACUGCAGCUGCCAGAGUCCGAACACAGUUUGCUGAUUCCAAGAAGACUCCCAGCCGACCAGGAAGUCGAGCUGGAAGCAAAGCUGGCAGCAGGGCCAGCAGCCGCCGAGGCAGUGAUGCAUCAGACUUUGACAUUUCAGAAAUCCAGUCCGUGUGCUCAGAUGUGGAAACUGUCCCCCAGACACACAGACCUACACCCCGAGCAGGUUCUCGGCCAUCCACAGCGAAGCCUUCAAAAAUCCCCACGCCCCAGAGGAAAUCACCUGCCAGCAAAUUGGACAAGUCCUCAAAGAGAUAGUGCAAUUGGUUCUACCAAGGCCCUUCCUUGAGCAUUUAUUAUUUAAGUUUGAACGAUGUAAAAUAUGGUGUAGAAAUUCUUGUGAAAUAUUGCAAGAGGCGAGUUUAAAAUUCUGCAGAUGGCCUUAUUUGUGUAUUUGUCUUUUUAUUUUAUCUGUAUAAUUUUUUUUGUCAGAUAUUCUGGGGUUAAAGUCACAUCAUAUGUGAGGAGGAAAAGUUUAACAUGAACUAACAUUUCUGCACUGUAACGUGCCGGGCACACACUAAACUCAGUUACUGUACCUACAGGUAAGUCUACAUCCUCUCUGACAGCCACAGCACUACAUCAAUCCCUGACGUUAGGGAUACCUCAUGACAUUUUCCUGUUUUUAUGGAAACUCUGAGAAGCUGAAUGAUACAUGCAGGGGAUAUUUUUUGAGAUGAUUUAAAUGUAAACCAAAAGAUGGAAGACAAAAAGACAAACACACCCACACGCAGUCUUUGCAGUAUCUGACAGAGAACUCACAGGAAGUUACUUCAAGCACUUGCCAGUACUAUGAUAUUCAAGUACCUUGCAGCAUUUCUCUGCCAUUGCUUUCAAUGAGGCCAGAGGCAUCCUGGAUAUUAGACCUAUUAUACUGUAAGAAUAUAAGUAUAAAGUGCGUUCAUAUACAUGUGAGGUUUUCUUUUGCUUGAGUGGACAGUAGCACCUGUAUCAUUGAACUCAUUUUGUAUCAGAGCAAUUUUGCUUGCAGAAAGCUAUGAAAUAAAACACGUCCCUUAACUGC
RNAcentral lists this long non-coding RNA (2967 nucleotides) under Homo sapiens (human). RNAcentral describes it as "non-protein coding lnc-COL21A1-1:1". The record is from RNAcentral. Lineage: Eukaryota; Metazoa; Chordata; Mammalia; Primates; Hominidae.